UUCCUUAUAGUUCCUUAUAGAUGGGGCUGGUCUAAAUGGCAAAUAGACAGCAUGGGACCUCCUGGAUCCCCCUCUGUAUGUGCCCCUGGCUUCGUUCCUGCUGCUCCCACACUGCACCUUAUGCUCGGGCCUGAUCUUUGUUUGUGGAUUCCUGGACCAGCCUCACUGUUGAACACCCAUUAGAGACUUGAACAAAAGAUGAGGUGAGGCCCGAGGACAGAGCAAAGGCAGACACGGACAACAGAAAUUUCCAGGAACCAUGAGAGGAAAACAAGCACCCCCAAAGCUACGGCACAUGCCAGAAGAAAUGUGUAAUUUGCUUAGAAGAACUCAUUGUCCUCUGCAUGCUUUUCCAGGAAGGCCUCUGUAGAGGAAAGACUUUCUGGUCACUUGAGGAAAUAUGUGCUUGGGAUAUUGGGGCAAUGUUUCAGUGGGCAGAAGUGGUAAAUGAGUAUGUAAGCCAUGCUGGGGACUCUCCCUUGCUGGUCGUGCCCCACCUUGAUCCAAAGUCAGCUCUCAUAUGAUCUAGAUUUGGCUCUGUUAAAAUUACGUCCCAGUGACCACAACAGAGCUCCUCGUUUAUUCAGUCGUCACACAGAUCUGAUUCAUUCAUUAUUCUGAAUCUAGACAAGAAUACUGAAGAAAACAGAAAAUAUCUAAGCCUCGAAAAUGCUGUCACCAAGACCAGCCUCAUAGCUCAUUUACCCUCCUUUGAGGGUAACCCCACAAGCCUUCAUUCGGGGACUACUGGUUUUUAUUUUCCAUAGAAUUCUAACAAACUGGAUGGCAGCGCAGGUAAAAUAACACGUCAGACGGACCUCUGCUGCGUUACUCACAGGUUGUUUUCUCUCUCUGAGCCUUGAGUUCUCACCUGGGAAAUGAAGCAGAGAUACUACCUCGGCGGGGAACACUGAGGAUUAAGUGCUCCCACAUUUGCACAAGUGCCUGACGCACAAUAAGGACUCGGCACAUGCUUUUCCAUGUGAAAGACUCCCUUCCAGACACAAAGGUAUUGACAAAGAAAUCCUAACUGUCCGACAGGAGACAGCAAACACCCUUGUGGUGGUCGGAUGUGAAGGGAUCUAGCUCCGAACACCUGACAAGGGCCCAAAAGCAUUUCACCAAGAAGAGCGUGAACUAUGCCCACUCAGUCCAUUACGUUCCAGAGGAUUCCACGUCAUCAAGAAAAGGUGAGGAAAUGGAGGUUCAAGAUCACACAGCCAGGAGCUGGGAUUGAGGCCAACAGUGAUUCUGCCUGAACCCUAAUCAAGCUGUUCCAAGGUGGCACCUACACUGUGCCCAUGAGGAGCCAGCAAAUGUGCCUUGAAAGGGCUGGUCAUUCUCGUGAAAGCACAGAUAUGCACAUUUGGCUUGUGCCACAGCAGUCCUCUCUCUGAAGGGACAGUUAUUAAAGGCCGGUUGAUGCUGGCCGCCAUAGAUAAGGGGCUUAGAAUGGAUUGGGACCAGAUUCUCUCCCCCUUCCACAUUUUCUAUCUCUGUUAUUACAGGCCUCAGGCUAUAGAAUCUUAACAGCUGGAGUCUUGGAAAACCCUCAGGAAUCAGGGGAAAACCAAAAGCAAAGGCUUUUCUCCUUGCUCAUAAAAACAAAAUACGUUACAAUCAAUUCUGUAUACCUGUUGUAGUUAUAAAGUUGGUAAAAAG
Panthera uncia (snow leopard) is the source of this 1662-nucleotide long non-coding RNA. RefSeq lists it as uncharacterized. The record is from RefSeq and is a predicted model, not a curated record. The transcript is spliced from 3 exons. Lineage: Eukaryota; Metazoa; Chordata; Mammalia; Carnivora; Felidae.